RNAcentral lists this ribosomal RNA (458 nucleotides) under Orestias imarpe. RNAcentral's name for it is "partial 12S ribosomal RNA". It matches the Rfam family "Bacterial small subunit ribosomal RNA", at positions 875 to 1533 of the family's 1533-position model. Lineage: Eukaryota; Metazoa; Chordata; Actinopteri; Cyprinodontiformes; Cyprinodontidae. The record is from RNAcentral.
GGGUACUACGAGCAUUAGCUUAAAACCCAAAGGACUUGGCGGUGCUUUAGAUCCCCCUAGAGGAGCCUGUUCUAGAACCGAUAACCCCCGUUCAACCUCACCUUCUCUUGCCUUUCCCGCCUAUAUACCGCCGUCGUCAGCAUACCCUGUGAAGGAUCCAUAGUAAGCAGAAUUGGUAGAACCCAAAACGCCAGGUCGAGGUGUAGCAUAUGAGAAGGGAAGAAAUGGGCUACAUUUCCUUCCCCAGGAAAUACGGACUGUGCCAUGAAACAGCACACGAAGGAGGAUUUAGCAGUAAGGGGAGAAUAGAGUGCUCCCCUGAACCCGGCCCUGAAGCGCGCACACACCGCCCGUCACUCUCCCCAAGCCGUAAUAACUUUUUUUUAAAGCCUGCAAUAAGGCAAAGGGGAGGCAAGUCGUAACAUGGUAAGUGUACCGGAAGGUGCACUUGGAAAAAU